GGGGCACAACCAGGCAGGGCCGAACGCUGUACACACAGUGCUGAGGAGGGCGGCUCUUUCUGCUCUCAAAUCGUGCUCCUUUUGUUGCCUUUCAACCAAAUAAAGGGAGAGAGUCGUUUUUAAAAGGCCUGAAAAGUCAACGGUUACAUUAAAAAAAAAAACCCCACUUAAAAAACCAAAGUGAUGGCGGUUUGGUCCCAACAAGUCAACACUGAGAUCUUUAUUCACAUGCUCCAUUGCUUCUUACUUCAAGAACCAAAAAUAGUUUCCAAAAUGAUCAUUUAAUUGAUGUUCCUACACAAAGGCCUAAAAGGAGAGUACGGAUUUAAAAAAAAAAAACAAACUGAAUACACAACGGGGGAGAAAAAGGGGGAAGGGGUGAGGAAACCCCGAGCUGCACUACUGCAAAUUAUAAAAGAGAAACAAAAACAUCAACUAAAGGUGGGCACAAACCCCAUUCCACGGCGCCUUCAAAGCCCGUUACCAAACAAACCCCCCAACCAAACUGAAGAACAACCAUUCUGUAAGGGCACGGACAGAACAGCCGGAGCCUCACCCAGCACUCGACCUCAUUCAGUCCACAAUGUCUUUGGGAAGAUGCGCUCCGUGAGCGGACCCAAGCAGAAAUGAUGCGUCAGUUCUCACCCCCGGGGAGGGGGGCAGAGCUCUGACAGCGCAGGGAACGUCGGGGUUAUGUCAGAGCCCUUCGAGGGGCUCCGCUCCGGGGGCCGCCCUGAGGCCCGGCACGGUGAGUGCCGCUCCCGGCACCGCGGCUAUUCGGCCGCCGACUGCAGGCUGUCUUUGUCCUCUCUGUUCUCCGUCCCGCUCUCAUCGUCUUCGAUUUCUCCUUCUUCGCCGCUGAAUUUGUCGUGAGCCCAUUUGGGGCUGGUGCUCGACUUCCUGAACAUGAAACGCCCUCGGCCUCGGGGGAAGGCACCGCGGCCACGGCCUCUGCUCACCCACUUCUCCGCGCCUUCGCCCUCGCGGUCAUCGUGCAGGUAGUACUUCUUGCUCUUCGGUGUGUACUCAGGAUCCCAAUCCUCUUCCCUGCUUCUCUUCUGGAAGUCAUUGUUGCCACCACUGUUGCUGUUAUUGUUGCCUGAAAAGUUGCCUCGGCCCCAUCCUCUCCCCCUCGCUCUGAAUUGCUGUAACAACAAAACAUGGAAGGGAAAUCAAACAGCUGUGACAGCAGUGCUCCUUCAGAGGCACCAAGAGAUGCAGCACCGCUUCCCCAGCAUGCCAGGAACACCUCUAACCCAUCACUGAAUUAAAAGCUCACGAUAUUUUAUGGCCUUCAAGCCCAACUGAUGACACUAUCCAAUACAGCUUAUUGAAAGAGAGGUGUUUCCUGAGCACCCAAAAGAAAGCAUCCAACACACACAGACUUCUGUGUACCAAGGGCACGAACGCUGAGCCUCCCCCAGCCUGCCCCAUCACGCUGCUCAGCCAUCACUGAUGUACAGAAGCUUCCAGGCUAUACUCUGCACCACGCACCUCAAGCUCAGCUGCCCAGCCUACAUUCCCAACAGCCCAGUUUGUGCUUCAGGUCUGCAGCCAUCACAUUCUGGUUCAUCCACAACCAAAGACUUUCAGGCUUCUCCUUUACAGAACACUUUGACUGCAGAACACCACACAGUGGCUGCUUCUGACUGCACUGCAAUCGACACACGGGGUGGGGAAGCACUUACAAAGGUCCCUCGGGCUCUUCCUCUCUCAUUUGGACCCGUGAACUCCUUAGUUCCAAGUCGGGACUUGUCAAAGCCUGUGGUGCUUUCCUCCCUCUCCUCAGUCUCCUCGGGAUACUCCUCUGCUUUCACUGAAUGAGAGGACCGUGAGGACGACGAGCUGGAUCUGGACCUCUCACGCACCCUUCGGUGUUUCCUGUUUCAGUGAUGGGAAAGAAGGGUGGGGGGGAACAGCAUCUGGAUUAAUCACUCAGCAGUAACCUGUUGGCUAAUCAACUAUUUUAUCAGUCCCCCAUCAGUACAGUGCUUUCCUUUUCCUACUAUGAAAAGUCACAGUAACAGCUCAACAUCAGCUGUGACGUGCAGAUCUAGCAGAGGUCCCAAGGCUUCUCUGACAUGAUUUUGCUGCUUUUAAAGCACUGACACUGCCCACAAGGAGACAAGCACGCAUUUGAGACCAACAGUCUAAUAGAAAAGGACUAAAUUAAACUUGAAGCAAAGUCAUUUAAACACUGCCAUUGCCUAUGACUGGAACAAGAAUAAAAAGGGACUUACCCACUGUGACACACGGAGCCUUCCCAUUUACCUUUAACAGUUACUUUACGUUCCAGAUAGACACAAUGGCAUCAAGAAGACACGCAGGGGAGUAACUCACACCACUGCAGCAGUUAUGUCACAGGUGUACAACCACAUACAUGCGAGGUUGUCUCCAACUUUACCAGCAGAAACAUGAAAUGCAGAACGAAAGGCUACGGGGUUUCCUACAUACUUUUUCUUUGAGCUUUUGUGACUUUUCUCCGUUUUCUCAGCUGAUCUUUCCCUUGAGUGACUCGAAUCUCUGGACUCCACCGACUCUCUGGAUUUAUCACGUUUAAGAUCUCUUUCCUUAUGUUUUUUACGGCGCUCGAUAUCAAGGCGCAGGUCAACAGGGUCAUCCUUGUAUUUCCCUUCAGCCUACAAGGGCAGGGAUGGGGAGAGUUUAACACACAGACCCACAGCACCCCCAGUUCAGCACCAUUACUUUACUACUGACUGCACAAACUUGUGGAGAGCAGGGGUUUAUCUGAAUGCUACUCAAUGCUCCAUUUUAAGAUGCAAAACGAUGCACUAUCAAACUCAGUUUUUAUUUGUCAGACUUCAAUCUUCCUACUUUUUUUUUUAAAAAAAAAAAACUUUUACCCUCUUUAAAACAGCAUUAGAAUAGCCUGGUCAUAGGGGAACACUGACACUUAUUGUACACCACAGCCAUCGAGAUGAGAGCAACUUGGAAACCCAAUCCGUGUGAGUGUGUGUGGCAGAACUGCAGCGUGCCAGGAAUGCUGGAAGGCCUGGGGACACCUGUCACAGGGCAGCAGCAUCCAGCAGGGCAGAAGGGCUCUACAAACUUAAGGAGAAGCAAAAGCUGUUUGCCAGCUGGAGACACCUGGGGCAGCAAUCCUUCAGUGAGCGUGCUAAGAGAUGGAGGCCACUGGAAAUGCAGUGAUCAAGGCUGUUUACUUGGAAGAAUCCCACUGAUGUGUUGUCUUUAAUACCCCUGUCAAGAAGGUUUGCUCUGUGGCAGAUACCACCCAGAGCAUGGCUUUCCCUUGUCUAGGGGCACCACAUGGAAGGUGCCAAAAAUCCAUCCAGCUCUACAAAAAGCACCCAGCUCGUGGUCUCUGUGUGUCUGUUAACACAGUCAGCUACACAAUCUGGGAAUGCUUGCUCGAGUUCAACUGAAAUGGCUGCCUAAACGAGCAGCAGGCUGCAAUGGUUUCUUUAGGAAAGGUGUAGCUGCGUUACCUGGGGGUGCUCUGAGAGCUGCAGCACUUGGAUGAGGUUCUGCUCUGAGUGCACAACGUGAGCAGCAAACUGACAGUGCUGUGGUUUUGCCAAACGUUUACCCGAGCAGCAGUGCUUUGGUGGCAACCUGCACACCACGUCGCUAGCAACAACACAGCCCCCACAGCAACUGCUGCUCCAUUUACACAGCACUAAUCUCGGGAACUGUAUGACUUGAUACACAACAUCAAUCAGAUUAAUCGCCCUUGAAUUAAAUACAAAAGGAUUAGUAAUUCUCUAGCUAUUAAACUUUUUACUUACAUGAGUUUCUAAACACUUUUUUUGUUUAAAUAAAAAUGUCAAAUAACGCAGGAGUGGGAGCAGGCCUUUUGGUUGGGUUUUUUUGCUCUUCUACUUUCCCCAGGCAAAGAGCUUUAAUUUCUACUCUGAGAAUACAACUGCUCCCAACACGGUGGAUGGCAGAUAAGUGACAAAAUCAGCAGCAGCUCCCUUAUGUGGUGCAGCAAACACCUAUUGGGUUUGUGAGGGCACGUCUGUUUCACGGAAGGCUGGCGAGCUGUUUGGAAACCACGUUUAUAAUACACUCUGCCAAGCUGAUGCUCAGAGUUCAGGCCCAUCAAAUCCAUCUCACCAUCGUCCAUGUCAAGCCACAAGUGUUUGGAAAAAAUCGAAAACAAAUAUGAAACAAGUAAGGUUUCAGCACGACUGUUCAAAAUCUCUUCAAUGUAAAUAUGUACGAAGGUGAAUACACAAAGGUUAAAAUCCCAAACAUUGUGUUAAGCCAUUUCUAAGUGGUUUACGGUAAGCAUCAUGGCUUAACAUGAGCUACAGCUAACACACUCCAUUCCCAAAGGUCUGCUCUACGACAACAGGUGCUGAAUGUUAACUAACAGCAAUCAACAGAAACGGUACAGCAAGUUGUUAGAACAAAUUUUAUCACCCUCUUAAUAGUGUAUCUUGUUUAGCUAAGUAUUUAGUUUUACUCUCCUCUUUUUGACAUGCAUGUCUUUCUGAAAACAUGGUUGGCAAUAUCGCAUGUAUACAAUUGAUUUAAUAAUACUUACAAGCAGACAAAUAUCACAAAAAGUCUCUUCUCUCAUCAUGGGCACUUGUUCCAAAAAUCCUCUCAUUUUUCUCAAGCUCACCUCAAUUGACUUUGGGGUCAUUUACCAUAGUCUAACCACUUCACAAAGGUUGUUGAUACAUUUUUAAUAAAAAUUAACCCUUUGUAGUUCAUUUUUAGAAUUAUGCCCAUCCUUAAAAGAAAAACACAAACUUAAGUAGAGAGUAAUUUAAACAAAAACAUCACUGUUAAGUUCAUGCCCAAUGCACUCAUUUUGUUGAAUUAAACUAAUCAGAGUGACAGUUCACCUUGAAGCCGGGAUCUCUGGAACUUUUCGAUUCCUCUUGAGAGAAUCCAUGUUUUCUAAAAGUACUGGGAGAAAUAUCUAUCCUCCUGUGAAUUUCAGGGCUCUUUUUAUUUUUAGCUGCUUCUUGUUCCAUUCCUUUCUUUAGGUAUUUGGUAAAGCGUUCGUUCAGCGUCAUUCCUGACGAUCCAAAGUGAUGCUCUGUUGGAGGGUUUGAGUAAACAAUGCCACAAUAUUAAUACCAUUUGUGUAAAAAGAAAGAGCUCGUCAGUCCUACAGCUUGGUCAAAUCUAACAAUGGUUGUCUUCCACCACCUCAAGGGAAGUUUUACAGAAGGUACAGCCAGACUCUUCUCAGAGCUACAUGAUAAAAGGACAAGAGAGGAUUACCACAGGCUACAAGAGAAGUUCUGACCACAUAUAAGGAAAGCACUCCCCCCACACCCCCUCCCCCCAACUGAACGUGGCUGAGCACUGGAACAUUUAAGCUCUAUACCACAGACUUUCAGAAUUC
RNAcentral lists this long non-coding RNA (5347 nucleotides) under Gallus gallus (chicken). The record is from RNAcentral. Lineage: Eukaryota; Metazoa; Chordata; Aves; Galliformes; Phasianidae.